This is an RNA transcript of Juglans regia (Persian walnut), 2944 nucleotides long. It is a transcript of the gene named probable receptor-like protein kinase At1g49730, with no coding region annotated. The transcript has 10 exons. Lineage: Eukaryota; Viridiplantae; Streptophyta; Magnoliopsida; Fagales; Juglandaceae. The record is from RefSeq and is a predicted model, not a curated record.
GAGAGAGAGAGAGAGUGGGGCAGUGUUCCACAGAGAGUCAAGACCCGCUUCCAUUACCCCCCGCAUGCUUACAUUGCUCUCUCUCUCUCUCUCUCUUUCUCUCGUCUCUGUGGGAGGAUCUUUCCCUCUUCUUCUCGACCAUGGGAAUUUACGCGACGCUCUUUUUGCUGUGUUUGAUAGCAAUUAUUGCAAUGAAGCUUCCAGUGAUAAUGUCGUCGGAUUGCCCCUUAGAUUUGAGUGGAGCUAAUAUCACUCUAGUGGGCUCGAUCUGCUCCGCUAACGAUGACAGAGGAAAGUGUUGCCGCUACAUUAAUGCUGCUGUUGCAGUUUCCAUUGCUCGCUAUGCAAAUACCACAGGCAACCUUGGGGUUACCACGGAUUUGUCUGAAAUCUGCAAACGUUCCAUAUCAGAAACCUUGGAACUGUACGGAGUUCCACGAAAUGCAACAGUGUUUUGCGGGUUUGGAACCAAAAUCUCAGUUAAUUAUGAGUGUACGGGUCGGAAAACUGUCACCCAGAUGCUGCAGUCUCCAGAUUUUGUGGAUGUCUCUGAAAAUUGCAAAAUGCCACUUUCAGAGGAAACUAAUUGCAGGAAAUGUAUAAACGCUGGUAUCAUGUACCUUCAUCAUCUGGUAGGAGCAGAAAAUAAUACGACACUGAGUACGUGCCGUGAUGCAACUUUUGCUGCGAUUGGAAGCCAAGUUGAUGGCACUUCAGCUGUUGAAAUUGCAAGCUGUUUCUUUGGAGUUCAAGGUCUUGGCAUUCUUCCAGAGCUGUCCCCAUCUUCACUCACGCCUGAGGCUUCUCCAAGUCCACUGGUUGCUGCAAGCCCAAGCCAACUAAUGUUGGGCAUACCCUUGUCUAGAAAGCGCCAUCCCUAUCGACUGACAUUGAUUCCAGGUGUUGGACUUGCAGUUACUGCAGUUGCUGUUCUAAUGCUUGUUGUCUUGAUAUUUCUUAUUCGUAGAAAAAGCAGAGAGCUGGAGGAUACUGGAAAUAUAGAUAAGACAUCUUCAAAAACUUUUCCUCCUCCUUGGCCCCUGUGGAAAUUCCAUGAAGGUGCAGGCCCUUCGUCUACGUUCCAUAAAUUCAGCUACAAGGAGAUAAAGAAGGCAACCGACGGUUUUAACACUAUCAUUGGGCGAGGAGGAUUCGGAACAGUAUACAAGGCUCAACUUAGUGAUGGCUUAGUGGCAGCAGUAAAAUGUAUGAACAAAGUUUCAGGGCAGAGGGAGGAUGACUUCUGCAGAGAGAUCGAGCUUCUUGCUAGAUUGCAUCAUCGCCAUCUUGUUGCUCUAAGGGGCUUUUGCAUUGCAAAACGUGAGAGGUUUCUCAUGUAUGAGUAUAUGGCAAAUGGAAGCUUAAAGGAUCAUCUUCAUGCUCCUGGUAGAACCCCUCUCAGUUGGCGAACUAGGAUGCAGAUUGCAAUAGAUGUGGCUAAUGCGCUGGAGUACCUCCAUUUCUACUGUGACCCUCCUCUGUGCCACAGAGAUAUUAAGUCCAGCAACAUUUUACUGGAUGAGAACCUCGUGGCUAAGGUUGCAGACUUUGGCCUUGCACAUGCUUCAAAAGAUGGUUCUGUUUGCUUUGAGCCAGUAAAUACUAAUAUCCGGGGAACUCCAGGUUAUAUGGAUCCUGAAUAUGUUGUCAGUCAAGAAUUCACUGAGAAAAGCGAUGUUUACAGCUAUGGCGUGCUACUUUUGGAGAUAGUGACUGCAAGGCAAGCAAUACAAGACAACAAGAAUAUAGUGGAAUGGUCCCAAAUAUAUAUGGCAUCAGAAUCAAGGCAGCACGAACUUGUGGAUACUAGUAUCAGGGAUUAUUUUGACUUAGACCAGCUUCAAAUAGUAAUCUCUAUUGUGAGAUGGUGUACCCAGAGAGAAGGCAGAGAUAGGCCUUCAAUUAAACAGGUUCUUAGGCUUCUGUAUGAGAGUUCUGACCCAAUGCAAAAUGGCCUUUUAGAAGCACUGGAAGAUGAAGAGUAUGAAGGAAUUGAAGAGAGAGGAAGGAGAAGCAAGGGCAAAACAGGUCGGCAUGAUGCAAUUUCUCACAGUGGAGAUGGUAGAUAUCUUGCUUCUUCCUCAAGCACAUCUAGGUCAUAUUGUAGUAGGAGCUUUUUUCUUGAAACUGGCUCUCCGCAGUCUCCGAACAAUAUACUCUCUGUUUGAUGCCUAUCAUUUGGCACAUGGACCAAGUCCGGUUGAAAGAUUGGAUAAGAGGGGCUUGAAAUAGGUUGCAUGUAUGCUCGGUUUCCAUUCUCACAGCAAAGUCUUUCACCUUCUGGAGGCACGUCAAAGAUUAUUACUGGCUUUGGUUGAAGUUAAAGAAUGAAAUUGCAAGAUUAUCGGUGACUUCUCCAUAGUUCCAACUUGUAGCUUGAAGGACAAGUCAGCAAGUUGGAUGUUCCAGGGAAACGAUGUUACUUUGUGUUAGAUUACAACAAACAAUGCCAAACGCAAGUAAAGAACAAAGAUCAGCGUGGAGGAUCAAACCGUGGUAUAGCGCAAGGCAGCGCUUUUAUCUGGACACCAAGGUCGCUCCCAACACAACAAUGCCGGGACAGCAUUGCAAGCGGGUGACUAAACUCUCCUCCAACUGGAGAGCGGAAAACGAUGGAAGAGUACAUGCUUUGACGUCGAUCGGAGGCACAGAGCCUCAUUAUACUAAAUACACCGUUCCGUAAUACCCUUUCCGAGAACGCUCCACAGCCACCUUACCCAAGCUAUGAACGAACGGAGAAUGGUGAGAGAAAUGAAAAGGGUGAUGUUCGUUCCCCUUGACGCAAAGCAAUCUCUGCUUUUAGAAACUGUACUUCGACGACCGCCUUGAAUAUAAAUAUAUACUGACAAAACUGCUAUAGCACAUAACGCCAUCUGCUCAGCUUUGCAGAUGGUAUAUACGCUGUGUAUUACGAGUUGGAGGGAGAUUCUUGAAAGCAUGGAUC